This 29-nucleotide non-coding RNA is filed under the name Mus musculus (house mouse). The record is from RNAcentral. Lineage: Eukaryota; Metazoa; Chordata; Mammalia; Rodentia; Muridae.
UNGUCAGGUGAAAUCAGUGGCUCAUUUGC